Pseudomyrmex gracilis is the source of this 327-nucleotide long non-coding RNA. RefSeq lists it as uncharacterized. The record is from RefSeq and is a predicted model, not a curated record. The transcript is spliced from 3 exons. Lineage: Eukaryota; Metazoa; Arthropoda; Insecta; Hymenoptera; Formicidae.
AUUCCAAGCAGUUCAAUAUAUGCUGAAAAAACUAUUAUUGAUGCUGAUAUGAAUAAAGAAAAUGUUUCUGAUGCUUCAUAUUUUAAAGCUGGUUGGUGGAAGCAAUCCACAUAUAAUGAUACGCAACAUGUUAAAAUAAGUAUUCACAAAUACUUUAGCUCUACAGUUCAGCUGGGCUGGUAAAAGAGCUAAGCGCAAUUUCAAAGACUUGGAACUUGCAAAUAUAAUUAUAUACAGGCUGUUCGUACAAUAUAUACGCAGGCAAAUGACACUGAGAUUAUCACGUCUAUAUCAAAAUAGCUUGCUCAAGCUAACUUAAGAUGUCAG